GACGAACGCUGGCGGCGUGCUUAACACAUGCAAGUCGAACGGAAAGGCCCUUUCGGGGGUACUCGAGUGGCGAACGGGUGAGUAACACGUGGGUGAUCUGCCCUGCACUUUGGGAUAAGCCUGGGAAACUGGGUCUAAUACCGAAUACACCUUGCUGGUCGCAUGGCCUGGUAGGGGAAAGCUUUUGCGGUGUGGGAUGGGCCCGCGGCCUAUCAGCUUGUUGGUGGGGUGAUGGCCUACCAAGGCGACGACGGGUAGCCGGCCUGAGAGGGUGUCCGGCCACACUGGGACUGAGAUACGGCCCAGACUCCUACGGGAGGCAGCAGUGGGGAAUAUUGCACAAUGGGCGCAAGCCUGAUGCAGCGACGCCGCGUGAGGGAUGACGGCCUUCGGGUUGUAAACCUCUUUCAGUACCGACGAAGCGCAAGUGACGGUAGGUACAGAAGAAGCACCGGCCAACUACGUGCCAGCAGCCGCGGUAAUACGUAGGGUGCGAGCGUUGUCCGGAAUUACUGGGCGUAAAGAGCUCGUAGGUGGUUUGUCGCGUUGUUCGUGAAAACUCACAGCUUAACUGUGGGCGUGCGGGCGAUACGGGCAGACUGGAGUACUGCAGGGGAGACUGGAAUUCCUGGUGUAGCGGUGGAAUGCGCAGAUAUCAGGAGGAACACCGGUGGCGAAGGCGGGUCUCUGGGCAGUAACUGACGCUGAGGAGCGAAAGCGUGGGGAGCGAACAGGAUUAGAUACCCUGGUAGUCCACGCCGUAAACGGUGGGUACUAGGUGUGGGUUUCCUUCCUUGGGAUCCGUGCCGUAGCUAACGCAUUAAGUACCCCGCCUGGGGAGUACGGCCGCAAGGCUAAAACUCAAGGAAUUGACGGGGGCCCGCACAAGCGGCGGAGCAUGUGGAUUAAUUCGAUGCAACGCGAAGAACCUUACCUGGGUUUGACAUGCACAGGACGUGCCUAGAGAUAGGUAUUCCCUUGUGGCCUGUGUGCAGGUGGUGCAUGGCUGUCGUCAGCUCGUGUCGUGAGAUGUUGGGUUAAGUCCCGCAACGAGCGCAACCCUUGUCUCAUGUUGCCAGCACGUCAUGGUGGGGACUCGUGAGAGACUGCCGGGGUCAACUCGGAGGAAGGUGGGGAUGACGUCAAGUCAUCAUGCCCCUUAUGUCCAGGGCUUCACACAUGCUACAAUGGCCGGUACAAAGGGCUGCGAUGCCGUGAGGUGGAGCGAAUCCUUUCAAAGCCGGUCUCAGUUCGGAUCGGGGUCUGCAACUCGACCCCGUGAAGUCGGAGUCGCUAGUAAUCGCAGAUCAGCAACGCUGCGGUGAAUACGUUCCCGGGCCUUGUACACACCGCCCGUCACGUCAUGAAAGUCGGUAACACCCGAAGCCGGUGGCCUAACCCCUUGUGGGAGGGAGCCGUCGAAGGUGGGAUCGGCGAUUGGGACG
This 1445-nucleotide ribosomal RNA is filed under the name uncultured bacterium. RNAcentral describes it as "bacterial SSU rRNA". It matches the Rfam family "Bacterial small subunit ribosomal RNA". The record is from RNAcentral.